UACAGAGGGUGCAAGCGUUGUUCGGAAUUAUUGGGCGUAAAGCGCGUGUAGGCGGCUUGUUAAGUCGGGUGUGAAAGCCCUCAGCUCAACUGAGGAAGUGCGCCCGAAACUGGCGAGCUUGAGUGCCGGAGAGGAUGGCGGAAUGCCCCAAGUAGAGGUGAAAUUCGUAGAUAUGGGGAGGAACACCGGUGGCGAAGGCGGCCACCUGGACGGUAACUGACGCUGAGACGCGAAAGCGUGGGGAGCAAACAGG
RNAcentral lists this ribosomal RNA (253 nucleotides) under uncultured bacterium. RNAcentral describes it as "partial 16S ribosomal RNA". It matches the Rfam family "Bacterial small subunit ribosomal RNA", at positions 524 to 776 of the family's 1533-position model. The record is from RNAcentral.